This is a non-coding RNA of Bos taurus (domestic cattle), 73 nucleotides long. NCBI's taxonomy places the organism in Eukaryota, Metazoa, Chordata, Mammalia, Artiodactyla, Bovidae. The record is from Rfam.
UCCCUGAUGGUCCAGUGGUAAGGACUUUGUUCUUCCAUUGCAGGAGGCAUAGGUUUGAUCCCUGGUCAGGGAA